ACUGCUCAGUAACACGUAGCUAACCUACCCUUAGGACGUUCACAACCCCGAGAAAUUGGGGCUAAUAAGCGAUAGAUAUGAUGUCCUGGAAUGGUAUUAUGUCUAAAGGUAUCCCAUACAUGUUUGGUAUACGCCUAAGGAUGGGGCUGCGGCUGAUCAGGCUGUUGGUGAGGUAAUGGCUCACCAAGCCUUUUACCGGUGCGGGCCGUGGGAGCGGGAGCCCGGAGAUGGGCACUGAGAUAAGGGCCCAGGCCCUACGGGGCGCAGCAGGCGCGCAACCUCCGCAAUGCGCGCAAGCGUGACGGGGCCAUCCCGAGUGCCAUCCGCUAAGGAUGGCUUUUCCUCGGUCUAACCCGCCUUGGGAGUAAGGGGAGGGCAAGCCUGGUGUCAGCCGCCGCGGUAAUACCAGCUCCCCGAGUGGUUGGGAUGAUUAUUGGGUCUAAAGCGUCCGUAGCCUGCCGGAUAAGUUCUCCGUUAAAUCCGAUGAUUCAAUCGUCGGGCUGCGGGGAAUACUAUUCGGCUUGGGGGUGGAGGAGGCCGGCGGUAGUCCCGGGGUAGGGGCGAAAUCCUAUAAUCCCGGGAGGACCACCAGUGGCGAAGGCGGUCGGCCAAAACACGCCCGACAGUGAGGGGCGAAAGCUGGGGGAGCGAACGGGAUUAGAUACCCCGGUAGUCCCAGCUGUAAACGAUGCAGGCUAGGUGUUGGGACGGCUACGUGCCGUUCCAGUGCCGCAGGGAAGCCGUUAAGCCUGCCACCUGGGGAGUACGGCCGCAAGGCUGAAACCUUGGAAGAGAUGAUUAAAAUAGACUCUUUUCAGGGCAGCAUACUUAAAGGAAUUGGCGGGGGAGCAC
This 852-nucleotide ribosomal RNA is filed under the name uncultured archaeon. RNAcentral describes it as "bacterial SSU rRNA". It matches the Rfam family "Archaeal small subunit ribosomal RNA", at positions 85 to 879 of the family's 1478-position model. The record is from RNAcentral.